Long non-coding RNA from Tupaia belangeri chinensis (Chinese tree shrew), 722 nucleotides. RefSeq lists it as uncharacterized. The record is from RefSeq and is a predicted model, not a curated record. Lineage: Eukaryota; Metazoa; Chordata; Mammalia; Scandentia; Tupaiidae. The transcript is spliced from 3 exons.
GCUUGUGUGGGUUUCGUUUCCUUCCUGUUCCCGGACUUAAAAGGAAGAUUUGGCCACCUUUACCUGGAUGGCUUAAAGAUAGUUACCCCCCCUCCAACCUUUUUUCAGAGGUAAAGAACGUGCCUCUGACUCAGUUCUCAGAUGCGCCGGCUGUGCUACCCACGCUGCGGUGCUGACGCUGCGCCUACUCAUCUCCUGGGAGUGGGAUAAACCGGAUCAGCAUGUUUUGCAAUGGAAUAUGAAGAUACCUAAGAAAUUUUUAAAUGCGUUACAGCUGUGACAACUAUGUGUGCUGUGGAAUUUCCCAUGUAGACAUCACCAAAGCGGCCUAUCUCCACGCCUGUCCUUCAUCAGCUCAGAGAGUUCAUAUUCAAUCUUCAAGGACAGAGGAGAAAGGAAAAAAGCCUAAGGACAGGCCAAGGAGAUUCACUGACUAUUUAUAGAAUAACCUUGUGUUGGAGAAAAUCAGCUCUUCAGAGAGAGGGAACUAAAGCUUUUUGUGUGCAUUUAAUAGAAACAGCAGCAAUGUGAAAUAAAAGGAAACAACUCCUAAAUCAAAGAAAUGCUUUGUAAUUCUCAAAGAAGAAUGUCAGGAAUAAAUUUAAAACUAACAAUGAGCUAAAGUGAAAUGAUUCUUUAGUGUCUUCUGUUCUUUUAUUGUUCUGUUGGGAUGCUCUAUCUCAAGACUAUUUUCUUAGACAAGUCCCCUGCUUCCCCAAGAC